This is a long non-coding RNA of Oreochromis aureus, 673 nucleotides long. RefSeq lists it as uncharacterized. The record is from RefSeq and is a predicted model, not a curated record. NCBI's taxonomy places the organism in Eukaryota, Metazoa, Chordata, Actinopteri, Cichliformes, Cichlidae. The transcript has 2 exons.
CAUUAGCGACCACUUCUGGAAGCGGUUCAUACAGAACUAUCUCCCAGGACUGCAACUCCAACAGAAAUGGAGGAAGUCCACUGACAACAUGGCCGUGGGACAAGCUGUUAUGAUUGUGGACGCUAAUCUGCCUAGAGGCCUUUGGCCUGUGGGUACCAUUUCCCAAGUUUUUCCAGGGACUGAUGGCAUUGUUCGAGCUGCCGAAGUCAAGGUUAAAGACAGUAUCUAUGUUCGCCCGGUAACUAAGCUGGUGGAACUUCCCAAAGUUCCUGAGGACUCAGAUGAUACUGUUUCAAAAUAGAAGGACUUUAGCAUGUGUGUAUUUCCAUACAAAUACAGGGGCGGCUGUUAAAAGUCCGCUUGGUCACUUUAACUGUUUAGACUACGUUACCCAUGAUGCACCUCGGUAUCUGUACUUCCGGUUGGGAACGUGUUCAGCGCAGUUCUGCACAGAUGAGAGGUGUGUCGGAGGUGUCGGAGGAUUAACGUUUUUCCUUGCAUUCGUGUGUGUGUUAACCCUGUGUGCGUGCUUAUCAUAUGACCACACACACUCAUAUACACACUCACACUCCCUUUACCUGCAUGUGAAUGCUGUAAUGCCAUCGCUUCCCCACCAAAGCUGUACAUCCUGUUGAUGUCAUCUGCCACCUCCUUAUUAAAGUUAUUUGAACUA